GAACGCACAAUAUGUUUGGCACAAUUUUUACGCCGGAUGCCCUUCCUGACACAACCCUUCUCAGGGAGUGGGAUACGAACCCACAACCCAUGGUUUACCAAACCAGUGCUCUAACCACUGAGCUACGGGGCCUGACUUUUUGGAGGUGAGGAUCAUUGACCUGCGAGGUCACCUCCAGCAAAUCCGUCAUGGGGAUCACGCAGCUGAGCUCACCCAGGAAACACAGGAGAACGUGGAGCACAUCGGCCCAGCGGCCAACAGUCAGCAGCAGGAGUGACAACACAGUGAGACGUGUUGCCACAGACUUCAGGACUGCCUGGCUUCCUGGCAGAGCCUCUUCGUCUGUUUAAGGAAGAGAAAGUAUUGAUGAACACUUUACUACACAUCAUCUAUAAAGGUCCAUGCUAAUCUCUUUCCCACAGGCAUCAGUAAAUUUAAAAAAAAAGGAUAUUGACAACUGAUAUGCUGUUCUUGGCAUUAUGCUAAUUACAUAUAUCGAUUUUUAACAUCUGUUUUUGCAACUUGUUUGAUAGGCAGUGUCAUGUUUUUCCUAUGCGUUGUCUUCAGUGUUCAGUUUUUAAGUACUGUACAACAUCAUGGAACAAGCUCUCAAUCUAAUGCAAUGCAGUUCUACACUAAUCCAAGUACAAUCACGGACAGUUAAACCCAUCAAUUGGGUAAUGGGCCUAUUCAAGAAUUUAUGAUUAUUCCCAUUAGCAUUAACAUUACUAUGCUGAAAAAAUUUUGAAUUUAAUUAAUUUGCACAUAUAGCACAGUAGCACAUGAUUAAAUUGUGGUAUACUGAUGUAUAUCAUUUCUUUUUUCUCACACACACAGUCCAAAAACAUCUCUACUGUCUAUAAUUAUAAAGAAAUGGAGCAAUUAAGGUACUGGAUAUAUGUUGAUUGAGACAAAGCACUUUUGUUUUUAAGUCUUCGCUGCAUGUUUUUGUUCUUUUACAUAGGCAUUUAUGUCGUUGUCUUCAGUCUUUGUAAUCCAUAUAAUUUCAAGGGUAAUGUAAAUGGAAUUUAAAAUAAAGUACAUUAUGAUUU
Molecule: long non-coding RNA, 1052 nt
Organism: Syngnathoides biaculeatus (alligator pipefish)
Lineage: Eukaryota; Metazoa; Chordata; Actinopteri; Syngnathiformes; Syngnathidae
Exons: 2
Source: RefSeq, a predicted model, not a curated record